AUGAACGCUGGCGGCGUGCCUAAUACAUGCCAGUCGAGCGAACGGACGAGAAGCUUGCUUCUCUGAUGUUAGCGGCGGACGGGUGAGUAACACGUGGAUAACCUACCUAUAAGACUGGGAUAACUUCGGGAAACCGGAGCUAAUACCGGAUAAUAUUUUGAACCGCAUGGUUCAAAAGUGAAAGACGGUCUUGCUGUCACGUAUAGAUGGAUCCGCGCUGCAUUAGCUAGUUGGUAAGGUAACGGCUUACCAAGGCAACGAUGCAUAGCCGACCUGAGAGGGUGAUCGGCCACACUGGAACUGAGACACGGUCCAGACUCCUACGGGAGGCAGCAGUAGGGAAUCUUCCGCAAUGGGCGAAAGCCUGACGGAGCCACGCCGCGUGAGUGAUGAAGGUCUUCGGAUCGUAAAACUCUGUUAUUAGGGAAGAACAUAUGUGUAAGUAACUGUGCACAUCUUGACGGUACCUAAUCAGAAAGCCACGGCUAACUACGUG
Molecule: ribosomal RNA, 496 nt
Filed under: uncultured bacterium
Lineage: Bacteria
Description: partial 16S ribosomal RNA
Rfam family: Bacterial small subunit ribosomal RNA
Source: RNAcentral